Molecule: microRNA, 26 nt
Filed under: Mus musculus (house mouse)
Lineage: Eukaryota; Metazoa; Chordata; Mammalia; Rodentia; Muridae
Description: mmu-miR-7226-5p
Source: miRBase by way of RNAcentral
GCCAGGGAAGUUGAUUGUGUGAAGGG